UCAGUUCAUGAUUGUUUCGACCUACAUAGGAGAUUAAUGACCAUUAACACCUGCUUGAAUGAAUCAUUGAUUAAUCAUACACCUGAUGCUGAUGCUACAAAAUCCCAGACUUUGUGCAAGUAUAUAAAGGAUUCUAACUUCUGAGUUUUAACUGCUGCAUUAUGGUAUGGAUUAUCCACUGAGUGUAAACGCAAAUCUCUGCAAAUUGUGAUCAAGAAGGAGAUACAGGAACAUCUGCACCACAACCAGCAGAUCCCUUUCAGGAACUCGAGCUGCAUCAACAACAGUACCCUGCCCCCCUUGCGAGGAAGUCGCUGGGUAGAACUCAUCGGUGACACGUUUUCUCCACAGUUCCAUCGCACUGGACAUAUACGUCCACAGAACAAGUCUGUGGAGAAUGUCGGAGUAACUGUUCAUCUGCUAUUGC
Long non-coding RNA from Silurus meridionalis, 427 nucleotides. RefSeq lists it as uncharacterized. Lineage: Eukaryota; Metazoa; Chordata; Actinopteri; Siluriformes; Siluridae. The record is from RefSeq and is a predicted model, not a curated record. The transcript is spliced from 3 exons.